CCUACGUGUGACAGCAGUGGGGAAUAUUGCACAAUGGGGGCAACCCUGAUGCAGCGACGCCGCGUGCGUGAAGAAGUCAUUCGUUAUGUAAAGCUCUAUCAGCAGGGAAGAAAAUGACGGUACCUGAGUAAGAAGCCCCGGCUAACUACGUGCCAGCAGCCGCGGUAAUACGUAGGGGGCAAGCGUUAUCCGGAUUUACUGGGUUUAAAGGGAGCUUAGACGGCAGUGCAAGUCUGGAGUGAAAUGCGGGGGCUCAACCCCCGGACUGCUCUGGAAACUGUACGGCUGGAGUGCAGGAGAGGUAAGUGGAAUGCCUAGUGUAGCGGUGAAAUGCGUAGAUAUUAGGAGGAACACCAGUGGCGAAGGCGGCUUACUAAACUGUAACUGACGUUGAGGCUCGAAAGCGUGGGGAGCAAACAGGAUUAGAUACCCGUGUAGUC
This 440-nucleotide ribosomal RNA is filed under the name uncultured bacterium. Its description in RNAcentral is "partial 16S ribosomal RNA". It matches the Rfam family "Bacterial small subunit ribosomal RNA", at positions 338 to 795 of the family's 1533-position model. The record is from RNAcentral.